CACGUAGGGGGCGAGCGUUGUCCGGAUUUAUUGGGCGUAAAGAGCUCGUAGGCGGCUCGGUAAGUCAACUGUGAAAGCUCCGGGCUCAACUCGGAGAGGCCAGUUGAUACUGCUGUGGCUAGAGUCCGGUAGGGGAGCGUGGAAUUCCUGGUGUAGCGGUGAAAUGCGCAGAUAUCAGGAGGAACACCAGCGGCGAAGGCGGCGCUCUGGGCCGGAACUGACGCUGAGGAGCGAAAGCGUGGGGAGCGAACAGG
Molecule: ribosomal RNA, 254 nt
Filed under: uncultured bacterium
Lineage: Bacteria
Description: partial 16S ribosomal RNA
Rfam family: Bacterial small subunit ribosomal RNA
Source: RNAcentral